Pseudonaja textilis is the source of this 473-nucleotide non-coding RNA. NCBI's taxonomy places the organism in Eukaryota, Metazoa, Chordata, Lepidosauria, Squamata, Elapidae. The record is from RefSeq and is a predicted model, not a curated record.
UGGCAGCUGGCCACCCUCCUCCCCCCACCUGAAGCAGGACUGCCUGGGUCUGUGCCAAGGAGGAACCGGGGAAGGGCAGCCUCUGGGACCGUGAGAAAUGAGCCACUUCAUAGCCGCCGAGAGGGGGUUUUAUGGGGGGGCUGAGCGGGGGUCUCUUUGGUGGGAGGAGGGAAAAGGCCUUCGCCUGGCAGAGCCCUUCCUGAGUUGAGGGGGGGUUUCAUUUCCCCCUUGCUCUUCGCUUCACUUUCAGGACUUGUGGGAGCUUCAUCACUGGAGGCUUUCAAGAAGAGACUGGACUGCCAUCUGUCAGAAAUGGUGUAGGGUCUCAUGCGGGGGGGGGGGGUUGGACUAGAUGACCUACAAGGUCCCUUCCGACUCUUAAUCUGUAAGUAAGCAAGCUCCCCAAACAAAUGGCAGAGAUGGAGUCGAUCAAAACCCACCCCGAAGACGUACAGAGACACCAAGCGAUUAAA